CGCGAAGAACCUUACCUGGUCUUGACAUCCACAGAACUUUCCAGAGAUGGAUUGGUGCCUUCGGGAACUGUGAGACAGGUGCUGCAUGGCUGUCGUCAGCUCGUGUUGUGAAAUGUUGGGUUAAGUCCCGCAACGAGCGCAACCCUUAUCCUUUGUUGCCAGCGGUUAGGCCGGGAACUCAAAGGAGACUGCCAGUGAUAAACUGGAGGAAGGUGGGGAUGACGUCAAGUCAUCAUGGCCCUUACGACCAGGGCUACACACGUGCUACAAUGGCGCAUACAAAGAGAAGCGACCUCGCGAGAGCAAGCGGACCUCAUAAAGUGCGUCGUAGUCCGGAUUGGAGUCUGCAACUCGACUCCAUGAAGUCGGAAUCGCUAGUAAUCGUAGAUCAGAAUGCUACGGUGAAUACGUUCCCGGGCCUUGUACACACCGCCCGUCACANCCAUGGGAGUGGGUUGCAAAAGAAGUAGGUAGCUUAA
RNAcentral lists this ribosomal RNA (479 nucleotides) under Enterobacter cloacae subsp. cloacae. RNAcentral's name for it is "bacterial SSU rRNA". It matches the Rfam family "Bacterial small subunit ribosomal RNA", at positions 960 to 1438 of the family's 1533-position model. Lineage: Bacteria; Pseudomonadati; Pseudomonadota; Gammaproteobacteria; Enterobacterales; Enterobacteriaceae. The record is from RNAcentral.